Molecule: ribosomal RNA, 791 nt
Filed under: uncultured archaeon
Lineage: Archaea
Description: bacterial SSU rRNA
Rfam family: Archaeal small subunit ribosomal RNA
Source: RNAcentral
GCUCAGUAACACGUGGAUAACCUACCCUUAGGACUGGGAUAACCUUGGGAAACUGAGGAUAAUACCGGAUAGGCAAUUAUUCCUGUAAUGGUUUUUUGUUUAAAUGUUUUUUCGCCUAAGGAUGGGUCUGCGGCCGAUUAGGUAGUUGGUUGGGUAAUGGCUUACCAAGCCGUUGAUCGGUACGGGUUGUGAGAGCAAGAGCCCGGAGAUGGAACCUGAGACAAGGUUCCAGGCCCUACGGGGUGCAGCAGGCGCGAAACCUCCGCAAUGUGAGAAUUCGCGACGGGGGGAUCCCAAGUGCCAUUCUUAACGGGAUGGCUUUUCAUUAGUGUAAAGAGCUUUUGGAAUAAGAGCUGGGCAAGACCGGUGCCAGCCGCCGCGGUAACACCGGCAGCUCUAGUGGUAGCAAUUUUUAUUGGGCCUAAAGCGUCCGUAGCCGGUUUAAUAAGUCUCUGGUGAAAUCCUGUAGCUUAACUGUGGGAAUUGCUGGAGAUACUAUUAGACUUGAGAUCGGGAGAGGUUAGAGGUACUCCCAGGGUAGAGGUGAAAUUCUGUAAUCCUGGGAGGACCGCCUGUUGCGAAGGCGUCUAACUGGAACGGUUCUGACGGUGAGGGACGAAAGUUAGGGGCGCGAACCGGAUUAGAUACCCGGGUAGUCCUAACUGUAAACGAUGCGGACUUGGUGUUGGGGUGGCUUUGAGCUGCUCCAGUGCCGAAGGGAAGCUGUUAAGUCCGCCGCCUGGGAAGUACGGUCGCAAGACUGAAACUUAAAGGAAUUGGCGGGGGAGCAC